Long non-coding RNA from Orbicella faveolata, 314 nucleotides. The record is from RefSeq and is a predicted model, not a curated record. Lineage: Eukaryota; Metazoa; Cnidaria; Anthozoa; Scleractinia; Merulinidae.
AUUCAAGAGCAGCUAAAUAAGCAGAAUUUUUUGGCUGAGGAAGUAGAGUUUUCGUAGCCAGUCGAGGUCAUUGUCGAUCGUAAUGUGAAAAACUUUGCGCCAUUCAAGUUAAAAUGAUGUUAUCUCUCUUACUGCUGCUGUUUCUCAAACAAGCUAUGGCUCAAUCCGUAAUGCCUCAAGCAUCUUGUGUUUACUCAAAGGGAGGAGACCCGAGGCUGGUGGUUUAUGUAUCGUUGGCUAAUCAGUCUGAACCAAUUCUGCAAAGGUAUGGUCUAACAUAGCAUUACAUUCUUCGAUUUCAAUUUUUUUCGCAU